AGAACGAACGCUGGCGGCAUGCCUAAUACAUGCAAGUCGAACGAACUCUUCGGAGUUAGUGGCGCGCGGGUGCGUAACGCGUGGGAAUCUGCCCCUUGGUUCGGAAUAACAGUUGGAAACGACUGCUAAUACCGGAUGAUGACGAAAGUCCAAAGAUUUAUCGCCAAGGGAUGAGCCCGCGUAGGAUUAGCUAGUUGGUGAGGUAAAGGCUCACCAAGGCAACGAUCCUUAGCUGGUCUGAGAGGAUGAUCAGCCACGCUGGGACUGAGA
This 270-nucleotide ribosomal RNA is filed under the name uncultured soil bacterium. Its description in RNAcentral is "partial 16S ribosomal RNA". It matches the Rfam family "Bacterial small subunit ribosomal RNA", at positions 26 to 324 of the family's 1533-position model. The record is from RNAcentral.